GUGCCAGCAGCCGCGGUAAUACGUAGGGCGCAAGCGUUAUCCGGAAUUAUUGGGCGUAAAGAGCUCGUAGGCGGUUUGUCGCGUCUGCCGUGAAAGUCCGAGGCUCAACCUCGGAUCUGCGGUGGGUACGGGCAGACUAGAGUGAUGUAGGGGAGACUGGAAUUCCUGGUGUAGCGGUGAAAUGCGCAGAUAUCAGGAGGAACACCGAUGGCGAAGGCAGGUCUCUGGGCAUUUACUGACGCUGAGGAGCGAAAGCAUGGGGAGCGAACAGGAUUAGAUACCCUGGUAGUCC
RNAcentral lists this ribosomal RNA (292 nucleotides) under uncultured microorganism. RNAcentral describes it as "partial 16S ribosomal RNA". It matches the Rfam family "Bacterial small subunit ribosomal RNA", at positions 505 to 796 of the family's 1533-position model. The record is from RNAcentral.